This 355-nucleotide ribosomal RNA is filed under the name uncultured Eubacteriales bacterium. RNAcentral's name for it is "bacterial SSU rRNA". It matches the Rfam family "Bacterial small subunit ribosomal RNA", at positions 1 to 339 of the family's 1533-position model. The record is from RNAcentral. Lineage: Bacteria; Bacillati; Bacillota; Clostridia; Eubacteriales.
AGUAGUUUGACUCCGUGGCUCGAGGACGAACGCUGGCGGCGUGCUUAACACAUGCAAGUCGAACGGAGAACCCCGAAUGAAGUUUUCGGAUGGAUUUUGGGAAUUCUCAGUGGCGGACGGGUGAGUAACGCGUGAGCAAUCUGCCUUAGAGAGGGGGACAACAGCUGGAAACGGCUGCUAAUACCGCAUAAGACCACGGUGCUGCAUGGCACAGGGGUAAAAGGAGUGAUCCGCUUUAAGAUGAGCUCGCGUCCCAUUAGUUAGUUGGCAGGGUAAUGGCCUACCAAGACGACGAUGGGUAGCCGACCUGAGAGGGUGAACGGCCACACUGGAACUGAGACACGGUCCAGACUCC